CAUCCAGGCGGGGCUUGAAGAUCUCCAGAGAAGGGGACUCCACACCCUCCCUGGGCAGCCUCUUCCAGGGCUCUGCCACCCUCACCCCAAAGAAGUUCUUCCUCAGAUUGGAGUGGAACUUCCCAUGGUCCAGCUUGUGCCCGUUGCCCCUCGUCCUGUCNGCCAAAGCAGGGUUGCCCAGAGCACAUCACUCAGGAGCAUCCAGGUGGGGCUUGAAGAUCUCCAGAGAAGGGGACUCCACACCCUCCCUGGGCAGCCUCUUCCAGGGCUCUGCCACCCUCACCCCAAAGAAGUUCUUCCUCAGAUUGGAGUGGAACUUCCCAUGGUCCAGCUUGUGCCCAUUGCCCCUCGUCCUGUCACUGGGAACCACUGAAAAGAGUCUGGCUCCAUCCUCCUUCAACCCACCCUUUAGAUACUUACAAGCAUUAAUAAGGUCUCCCCUCAGCCUUCUCUUCUCCAGGCUAAAGAGUCCCAGCUCUCUCAGCCUUUCCUCACCAGGGAGAUGCUCCAAUCCCUCCAUCAUCUCAGUUGCCCUACGCUGGACUCUCUCCAGCAGUUCCCUGUCUCUCUUGAACUGGGGAGCCCAGAACUGGACGCAGUAUUCCAGUUGUGGUCUCACCAGUGCACAGAGUAGAGGGGCAGAAUCACCUCCCUCCACCUACUGGCCCCNCCCAGCUCUCUCAGCCUUUCCUCACCAGGGAGAUGCUCCAAUCCCUCCAUCAUCUCAGUUGCCCUACGCUGGACUCUCUCCAGCAGUUCCCUGUCUCUCUUGAACUGGGGAGCCCAGAACUGGACGCAGUAUUCCAGUUGUGGUCUCACCAGUGCACAGAGUAGAGGGGCAGAAUCACCUCCCUCCACCUACUGGCCCCACUGGAAUUAAUGAUGGAAUUAACCUGCCAGACGAGGAAGCCUCAGAGCACACAGCAAGGCGCUGGGAUUACUGCAGGACCCGCUGAACGCACCGUUCAAAAGAGCAAAUCUCCCCCGAAACCAACACAGCCGCAAAGACAGAGC
This 1014-nucleotide long non-coding RNA is filed under the name Calidris pygmaea (Spoon-billed sandpiper). RNAcentral's name for it is "lncRNA (ENSCPGG00000017635.1)". Lineage: Eukaryota; Metazoa; Chordata; Aves; Charadriiformes; Scolopacidae. The record is from RNAcentral.